UACGGAGGGAGCUAGCGUUGUUCGGAAUUACUGGGCGUAAAGCGCGCGUAGGCGGCUUUGUAAGUUAGAGGUGAAAGCCCGGAGCUCAACUCCGGAACUGCCUUUAAGACUGCAUCGCUUGAAUCCGGGAGAGGUGAGUGGAAUUCCGAGUGUAGAGGUGAAAUUCGUAGAUAUUCGGAAGAACACCAGUGGCGAAGGCGGCUCACUGGACCGGCAUUGACGCUGAGGUGUGAAAGCGUGGGGAGCAAACAGG
This 253-nucleotide ribosomal RNA is filed under the name uncultured bacterium. RNAcentral's name for it is "partial 16S ribosomal RNA". It matches the Rfam family "Bacterial small subunit ribosomal RNA", at positions 524 to 776 of the family's 1533-position model. The record is from RNAcentral.